GCAGGAGGAAGGAUCCCAUGCUGAGUCCUCUUGACACAACUAGCAGCAUCUUGGAGUCUCCUGCUGUGGACACAGCAAGUAUCUCUGGUCAAGAAAAAUAUAAAAGGAAACAAUUUAACGUCUAGUCAGUCCAAAGUUCCUAGUUCACCUCUGCGAAACUCAGUGGAGGGAAAACUGUUCGACACGUCACCUGAGUCAGGCAAGGCUACCGAGUGUGAUAUGUGCCUCAACUACGAGACACAGCUGGUGAACGAGCAAAAAGCGAGUGGCCGAGCUGACCAAGCAGCUGGGGCUGUUA
Molecule: long non-coding RNA, 298 nt
Organism: Homalodisca vitripennis (glassy-winged sharpshooter)
Lineage: Eukaryota; Metazoa; Arthropoda; Insecta; Hemiptera; Cicadellidae
Exons: 4
Source: RefSeq, a predicted model, not a curated record